GCAAUCGCCAAGGAGAGCAGAGCCCUGGAUUUACCUCCCGCGCAGCCGGGCACCCCCAGCGCAGGCACUGCGAGAUUCCAGUGACAGAUGGAUCUCUCUCAUGCACACUUGCUCUUUCCUUCUCUGUAUUUUUGUUUUCGACAUGUUUGAUCCUAAGCUCUGAAGCUUCUCAGAGAGAACCCAGGAAAGAAGGAAGAGAAGGAGUAGAAACCAAGGGAGCGUGAGCGACACGGGAGGCAGCCCUGCCUUGUUCUUCCAAAUCACACUGUGGAGGGGCGGGGGAAGACUAGAGGGGGAGGACUUGGGUUUGUUUUGGGGUGGGUUUGGUGUGGGUGGGGGGUGGGUGGGAGGGGAGAAAAGGGGAAAAAGU
Molecule: long non-coding RNA, 370 nt
Filed under: Junco hyemalis (dark-eyed junco)
Lineage: Eukaryota; Metazoa; Chordata; Aves; Passeriformes; Passerellidae
Description: lncRNA (ENSJHYG00000006319.1)
Source: RNAcentral